Molecule: transfer RNA, 77 nt
Filed under: Alphaproteobacteria bacterium
Lineage: Bacteria; Pseudomonadati; Pseudomonadota; Alphaproteobacteria
Also listed under: 3 other names
Description: tRNA-Arg
Rfam family: tRNA
About the family: Transfer RNA (tRNA) molecules are approximately 80 nucleotides in length.
Source: RNAcentral
GACCCCGUAGCUCAGCAGGAUAGAGCGGCAGAUUCCUAAUCUGUAGGUCGGACGUUCGAAUCGUCUCGGGGUCACCA